UCCGGGUCGAGUCCGCUACCGAUACCAAUAGUAUAUUCAUCUGUUACCUAUUACCUUAUCUGUACGUUCCGCAUCUGACAGGCGCACCACCAAACGUUGUAUUCGGGAUUAAUAUGCUAUAUACACGGGUCAUAACCACAGGGUUGACACUACUAAAUUGUCAAAUUGUUACCUAUUGUAGUAUUUUAAUCAAUAAGACUUUCUAAGAUAACAAUACGAAUACUAAAAAUCAGG
This 234-nucleotide long non-coding RNA is filed under the name Mytilus galloprovincialis (Mediterranean mussel). Lineage: Eukaryota; Metazoa; Mollusca; Bivalvia; Mytilida; Mytilidae. The record is from RNAcentral.